GUGGGGCCUUGGGCGGUGGUCCCUCCUUCCUGGUCCUCCCCACUCACUCUGCCAGCCCUCGUUCCCACCCCGAGUCUCUGCCCUCCGGCUCUCUGGGUAGGAGCUUCUCGGCUGUCUUUUCUGGUCACUGCUGCAGACGUUCAGAGACAGACUCGGAAAUGAAGAAAGCCAGCAAGAGACCGGCUGAGGCCUUGCCAGCAGACCAGCCGGCCAGGGAGGCAGAGAGGAUGAGCGGCCAGGAGGAAAGGGCUGAAAACCGGAUGGAAACAGGAGCAGAAACUGCUGGAGAAGCCAAGAUGUGAGGCCACUGGAGCGAGGGUUUCACUGGGAGAGAUGUUCCUGAUUUCCCUGUGUGGCUUUUAAUACCAAUCCAGCCCUUAACCAACAAUCUUGUAACAGCCAAACUGUUCUUUAUUAAACGUUUUUGUGAGGAAAAAAAAAAAAAGAAUGGAAUGCAAAAUGGUUAGAGUGCAUCAUAGAUAAUUAGGGUCAGUGUUGAGUAUUGCUUGUUGGAGCUCACGUUUUACUUAUGUCUGUGUGUGUGUGCCCACGUUUGUGGGUGCAUUUCUCCCUC
Molecule: long non-coding RNA, 574 nt
Filed under: Chinchilla lanigera (long-tailed chinchilla)
Lineage: Eukaryota; Metazoa; Chordata; Mammalia; Rodentia; Chinchillidae
Description: lncRNA (ENSCLAG00000024979.1)
Source: RNAcentral